AGGAGCCGUAUACGAGGCCCGUACGUACGGUUCUGUGAGAAGGAUAAAGCCGAAGCAAAUUACUUCGGCUUUACCUUACUCGAU
Molecule: non-coding RNA, 84 nt
Organism: Thermincola sp.
Lineage: Bacteria; Bacillati; Bacillota; Clostridia; Eubacteriales; Thermincolaceae
Source: Rfam